AUAUAUUCAUUCUACAAAUAGAAAAUUUAAUCACAAAAAGAUAAUAUAAUGAUAGAUAAGGUUUCAUAUAUAAUAAUUACUGACAAAAUUAGUGGCACUGUACAACCAUGGUGAAAUAUUUUUUGGACUACCCUUCAGCUAAAGUUUUAGCUAACAUCCCUAAACUUAAUAUGAUAUUUUGUCCAACGUUCCUAGCAAAGCAAAAGUCUACUGAUUGUAUGUCUUCAAAACCCGCAUCUAUAUUUGUAAACUUUAGCCUCCAAAACCUGUAAAAAUAUUCAAAAAAUCCUUUUAAUAAGAAAUUGUAAAUAUCACUAGAAAAUUAUAUUAAAUAAUUUUUUCAAUUUUACUCUAAUAAUAAUUUGACCUCUCACCUUGAAAAGUGUCCAAAUUCACCAAGUGUAGUAUAUAUACACUUCAAAAAUAAAAUAGCAAUGUAAACGAGGCUGCAUGAAUAUAAAAAAAAUGAAUUAAAAAAACUAUGUUAUAUAACUGUUGUGUCAUUUAUGAAAACCUAGAAGGAUAAUCCUCAACCAAGAACAACAAAUUUUGUUUCAAGUUGAACAUCUAGACAAUAGUUUAUAUGUACUUAAUGAAAAUCUAAACAAUAGUGUAUAUCCACAAGGCACAUCUGAAACAUCAAAGCAGUAAAGCUAUAAGGAAUUUUAUUUUUACUGAAGUUUGAUAGCUUUUAUGCAUCUAACUUGGUAGGUAUUCAUGCAGAAAUGAUGCACUUGUGGGUAACUUAUCAAAAGCUCUUAUCACAGCAAUUGUGGAAGUUUCUUGUAUCGCUAAACAUGAAAAAAUAAGACCAUUGCAAUGUGGAGGAAGCUAUAGCAUAUUUUAUUUUCUUGAAGUACCAGCAGAUGAAACCACUAAUUGCAGCAAUUGUCAUAUACUACAUAGUAAAUACACGAGAAAGCUCUUUAGUGCAGAGCUCGCCAUCAAUAAUAGACUAAGCCUUAAUUCCAAACAAAUUGAGGUCGAUUAUAUCAAUCCUCUCAAUAAAUUGUCGCCACUCAGACAUUCAUGAAAAAGCUCACAGCAAAAACAAAAUCAAUACAACACCAUACAAGUAGCAAGUAACACCAUACAGUACCAACCCACUUUUAAAUGCAACACCAUACAAAUAAGUUGAUGAAUUCUAGCGACUCCACAAAUAUUUUUUACAUGUAAAUAGUCCAUGAACUCCAUUGAUUUCACAAAGGUACAUCAAUUAGAAAAAGAAAUUUACACCAGCAAAUAUAGUAAAACAAGCAUUCUUAAAUAUAUGCAUUGAACUCAUCUUCUAGUGAGGCAGAUUGUCUCCCUCCAUAUUAUUUGCAUAUAGUGGAAUUGACCUAUUUCAUUCCACGUCGAUUGGGUGGAACUCUUUGGUAACACACGCUGGGUGAGCAUGGGGGAAAUUGAAAUUAAGAAAAGACAAUUGGUGCAGGAUUUAAGAAGCAUCAUGGGUGGGGUUUGAGCUGCAUUUUGCUGUCAAUGGUAUUCCUUGUUGAUUCAGCUCAUUGAUCAACAAGUUAAAUGGAAUACUACUGGGAGAUUUUUCAGCUUUAAAAAGCUCUUCUUUAGCUGUUAUAGUAGCAUGAAACUUACUAACACAUUAAGCAAUUUAUACCUCUUCAAUCCAAAAAAGACCAAAAAUUCAAUAUAGCACUUAUAGUGAAAAGCUAAAAGACUAGAGGGAUUUUACUACUUUCAGCAAUAUAACAUUUCAUCUAGGACUGUUUUACAACAAGAUAGAACACACCGUUCUACUUAAAAGAGAAGCACGGAUACUCCAGAAAUUGAUAGAAAAUAAAGUUUCUAAUUCUCACUUUGUUGGGUUAUAAAUGAGCCACAAAUACUCCAGAAGUUGAAUACAAUAAAAAGUAAUUGCCAAGAAUUCUAAAAGUAAACCAAUGCAUGCUAGACUAGCUGACUAAAAGUUAGAGAAGUCGAAAAAAACUGGCUAAAUAUUACAUUAAACAAGUUUUGAAACUUACUAACACAUUAAGCAAUUUGUACCUCUUCAAUCCAAUAAAGACCAAAAAUUUUAUAUAGCACUUACAGUGAAAAGCUAAAACACAAAUGUAAACCAACAACUGUAAAUUAUAUUAAGAUGAUCUUACUAGUUGCCGUGGUCUAAUUAUUAGAUGUUCGCACAUUGAGAGAAGUCUUAGAGGUUGUAAUAGUGAUAUUUACUAGUUGAGACUAGUUGCAGCAGUCUCACUAUUAGUUGCAGCUAAAACACAACUUUUAAGCCAAGUAACACAUUAGUUGCAAGAGAGAUUUUACUAGUAGCAGCAAUGUCAUUCAUAUUUGCAACAGCAAUAAAACUUUUCAUCUAGGAUAGUUUUACAACAAGAUAGAACACAUCAUUCCAAUUAAAAGAGAAGCACAACACUAGGCAUCGGGUACUGUAUUCAAAUAUUUACUGCUAAAGAGAAAAGAUUCUCUAAAAUCUAAUACUAAAUUCCUAUUAAAGGGACUGAAACAUAGAAAUACACUCACAAACAAUCUAAACAAAAUGAAGUAAAGAUAAUUUUUUUUAUGGAAAAUAAACAAUUGCAGACAAAUCCUUACUCCAACUUGAAUAAAACCAAAAAUUCUUCUAAGCGUAAGUUUCAAAUAUAAGAACAGAGAAUAUAGCAGAGGAAGAACAAAUUUGAAGGGAAAAAAACCAAACAAAGCAUAGGCUUUUACAAACAAUUCACAAAGGGACACCCAAUCAAAUAUAAUCUAGAAAAGAAAUUGAUUGUAAAAAUAUUUGUUGCGCAGCAACCAAUUUCUACCAACAAAAAAAAUUAAAAAAUUAAGAUUUCACAAACCUGCAAAAAUGGGUUGUUGAGAAAUAAUAAACAAAGGUUAACUCAGAAGAUAUAUAGAGAAAGAAAGUGUGCUUACUUGUGGUGAGAUGAGUAGCAGAUUUUCAGCUUGAUAUUCCCCCCAAACCUGCAAAAAAUGAGUUUAGCAAACCCAUCGUAAGAGAGACAAAAGAAAAAUGUUUCUUAACAUACCAAGAAAAAAAUUUCUUAACAUACCAAGAAAAUGCCUUUGAGAGAAAUAUGGAAAUUUAGGGGAUUUAGGGUUUUUACUUCUAUGAGGAGCGAGGGAGAUGAGACUUGACGGUAGAUUUAGGUUUGAUAAAAGUUA
This 3135-nucleotide long non-coding RNA is filed under the name Nicotiana tabacum (common tobacco). Its description in RNAcentral is "long non-coding RNA (NTAB_LNC010266)". The record is from RNAcentral. Lineage: Eukaryota; Viridiplantae; Streptophyta; Magnoliopsida; Solanales; Solanaceae.